UAAAGAACGAUUAAAAGAUGAGUAAUUGGUGUCGCUGUUCAGCGAGUAUCGGGUUGGUGAAACGGUACCGGCACAACCAAUGAAGAUGGUCUUCUCCCUAGUUCGUUUUGGUGAGUGUCUGGUGAGCAACAAAGUAACCAGCAUUAACUAAAGCCGGUUUAACAACCGUUACCCGCGUUAGCAAUUGCCAAUCAUUUGGCAGCUGUAUCGAGUAGACUAGUUCACUAGCCUAGAACUCAGGUGGUACCACGGCCCAACGUCGUCCUGAAU
RNAcentral lists this non-coding RNA (270 nucleotides) under Lactiplantibacillus plantarum. The record is from RNAcentral. Lineage: Bacteria; Bacillati; Bacillota; Bacilli; Lactobacillales; Lactobacillaceae.